RNAcentral lists this ribosomal RNA (4593 nucleotides) under Triticum aestivum (bread wheat). Its description in RNAcentral is "partial small subunit ribosomal RNA". Lineage: Eukaryota; Viridiplantae; Streptophyta; Magnoliopsida; Poales; Poaceae. The record is from RNAcentral.
AUGGGGACGAAAGUUAAUAUUAUAGUAGGCUCACAUGUGUGGGCUGAAGAACCUGAUGUUGCUUGGGUCGAUGGAGAAGUUGUUAAGAUCAAUGGCGACGAGGCUGAGAUCCAAGCAGCCAAUGGAAAAAAGAUCGUUUCAAAAUUGUCGAAAUUAUAUCCCAAAGAUAUGGAAGCAGCUGCUGGUGGAGUUGAUGACAUGACAAAGCUCUCCUAUCUCCAUGAGCCAGGAGUUUUGCAGAAUUUGGCCACCAGAUAUGAACUUAAUGAAAUCUAUACAUACACUGGAAAUAUUCUCAUUGCUGUGAAUCCUUUCCAAAGAUUGCAACAUUUAUAUGACUCACAUAUGAUGCAACAGUACAAGGGUGCACCAUUUGGUGAGUUAAGUCCGCAUGUUUUUGCUGUCGCAGAUGUUGCAUACAGGGCUAUGAUUCAUGAAGGAAGGAGCAACUCUAUUCUCGUGAGUGGUGAGAGUGGUGCUGGUAAAACAGAAACAACAAAAAUGCUUAUGCAGUAUCUUGCCUAUUUGGGUGGCCGCGCUGCAACAGAAGGAAGAACAGUAGAACAACAAGUUCUUGAAUCAAAUCCAGUCCUUGAAGCUUUUGGCAAUGCCAAGACUGUCAGAAAUAACAAUUCUAGUCGAUUUGGUAAGUUUGUUGAGAUUCAAUUUGAUAAGCAUGGGAGGAUCUCAGGUGCUGCUGUCAGAACAUACCUGCUUGAAAGGUCACGAGUAUGCCAAAUUUCUGAUCCUGAACGCAACUACCACUGCUUUUAUCUCCUUUGUGCGGCACCACAGGAGGAACUUGAUAAGUACAAAUUAGAAAAUCCUAGGACUUAUCAUUAUCUUAAUAAAUCAAAUUGCUACGAUUUGGUUGGGGUCAGUGAUGCUCGUGAAUAUUUGGCUACCAGAAGAGCAAUGGAUAUUGUUGGUAUCAGUACCCAGGAACAGGAUGCUAUUUUCAGGGUGGUUGCAGCUAUUCUUCAUAUUGGCAACAUUGAAUUUGCCAAGGGGAAAGAAGUUGAUUCCUCAGUUUUGAAAGAUGACAAAUCUAAGUUCCAUCUUGAAACAGCUGCUGAACUCCUUAUGUGUGAUCCUGGAGCUUUUACAGAUGCUCUCUGUAAGCGUGUCAUGGUAACACCAGAGGAGGUUAUAAAAAGGAGUCUUGAUCCUUACAGCGCAACUAUCAGCAGGGAUGGUUUUGCAAAGACAAUAUAUUCCCGCUUGUUCGAUUGGCUUGUUGAUAAAAUUAAUAGUUCCAUCGGGCAAGAUGCUAACUCUAAAUGUCUUAUUGGUGUCCUGGAUAUCUAUGGUUUUGAGAGCUUUAAGUCAAACAGUUUUGAACAGUUCUGUAUUAAUUAUACAAAUGAGAAAUUACAGCAACAUUUCAAUCAGCACGUUUUUAAGAUGGAGCAAGAGGAAUACACUAAAGAACAAAUUGAUUGGAGCUAUAUUGAGUUUGUCGAUAAUCAAGAUGUUCUUGAUCUUAUUGAGAAGAAACCUGGUGGCGUUAUUGCACUUCUAGAUGAGGCAUGUAUGUUUCCCAAGUCAACACACGAGACCUUUGCCCAGAAGCUGUACCAGACUUUUCAAAAGCAUAAACGGUUUGUCAAACCUAAGCUAUCUCGCACAGAUUUUGCAAUCGCUCACUACGCUGGAGAGGUGCUGUAUCAGUCUGACCAAUUCCUUGACAAAAACAAAGACUACGUUGUGGCAGAGCACCAGGAGCUACUGAGCGCUUCUAGAUGCUCCUUUAUCGCAGGAUUAUUUCCUCCUCCGCCAGAGGAAACAUCAAAAUCCUCGAAGUUUUCUUCGAUUGGUGCACGCUUCAAGCAACAACUUCAAGCUCUUAUGGACACAUUAAAUUCUACCGAACCUCAUUAUAUCAGAUGUGUUAAGCCAAACAAUGUCCUAAAACCGGCAAUUUUUGAGAAUGUCAAUGUUAUGCAACAGUUGCGUUGUGGUGGUGUACUUGAGGCAAUCAGGAUCAGUUGUGCCGGUUAUCCUACACGUCGCACAUUUUAUGAGUUUUUGCAUCGUUUUGGAAUACUCGCUCCAGAUGCCAUUGAAGGAAAUUGUGAUGAAAAGGCUGCAUGCAAGAGGAUUCUGGAAAAGAAGGGUCUUAUAGGCUUUCAGAUAGGUAAAACAAAAGUUUUUCUGAGAGCCGGACAGAUGGCUGAAUUAGAUGCUAGAAGAACUGAAGUUCUCAGUGUUGCUGCAAAAACAAUUCAAGGGAAAAUACGAACACAUAUCAUGCGGAAGAAGUUUGUUUCUUUGAGGAAGGCAUCUGUAUGUUUUCAGGCAGUUUGGAGAGGAACAUUGGCUUGUAAACUCUAUGAUCGCAUGCGGAGGCAAGCAGCUUCUGUCAAAAUUCAGAAAAACCAACGUGGGCAUCAGGCUAGGAGGUCCUACAAACUGCAAGUUUCUUCAGUUCUCGUAAUACAAGCAGCAUUGCGUGCAAUGGCAGCAAGGAAUGAGUUCAGACAUAAAAAGCGAUCUAAGGCAGCGGUUACAAUUCAGGCUCGUUAUAGGUGCCAUCGAGCUCAUUCAUACCAUAAGAAGUUAAAGGCUGCAGCCAUUGUUGCACAAUGCAGAUGGCGGGGAAGGAUUGCAAGGAAAGAACUCAGGAAACUUAAAAUGGAAGCAAGGGAAACGGGUGCACUCAAGCAAGCAAAGGAUAAACUUGAAAAGACAGUGGAAGAGCUUACAUGGCGUGUGCAGUUAGAGAAGCGAAUGCGGACAGAUUUGGAAGAAGCAAAAGCCCAGGAGUUAUCAAAAUUUCAGAGUUCCAUGGAUGCCCUGCAAGCUAAAUUGGAUGAGACAAAUGCAGUGCUUCUAAAGGAACGAGAAGCUGCUAAAAAGGCUAUCGCGGAAGCACCUCCUGUGGUAAAGGAAACUGAGGUUAUAGUCCAAGACACUGAGAAGGUUCAUACCUUGAAAGCAGAGGUAGAUGAACUUAAGACCUCGCUUCAAUCAGAAAAACAAAGAGCGGAUGAAUUAGAAAAGAAACGCUCCAAGGAAGCACAAGCAAAUGAAGAAAAGCAAAAGAAGAUAGAAGAGACUGAAGUAAAAAUACGCCAAUUUCAGGACUAUCUGAGAAGGCUAGAGGAGAAGUUAUCUAAUGUAGAAUCUGAAAAUAAAGUCCUUCGUCAGCAAGCUGUUUCAGUGGCUCCAGCUAAAAUUUUGUCGGGACGUUCCAAGUCGAAUUUACAGAGGAAUGCGGAAAGUGGUCAUGUAUCAGUUAGCGAUUCAAAAAUAACUCCUGAGUCCGCUGUUGUAGCCUCUCCUAAAAAGGAAUAUGACAUAGACGAUAAGCCACAGAAAUCUCUAAAUGAAAAGCAGCAGGAAAAUCAAGAUCUGUUAAUUAGGUGCAUAGCCCAGCAUUUGGGAUUUGCCGGGAAUCGGCCAGUUGCUGCUUGUAUUAUAUACAAGUGCCUUCUUCAUUGGAGAUCAUUUGAAGUAGAACGGACAAGUGUUUUUGAUCGGAUUAUUCAGACCAUUGGACAUGCAAUUGAGACACAGGACAAUAAUGAAGUCUUAGCAUAUUGGCUCUCAAAUGCUUCAACGCUGUUGCUUUUGCUUCAGCGGACGCUGAAAGCGAGUGGGUCAACAGGAAUGGCUCCACAGCGUCGACGGUCGUCCUCUGCUACUCUUUUUGGAAGGAUGACACAGAGCUUCAGAGGGACUCCACAAGGUGUAAAUCUUGCUCUAAUAAAUGGAAGCAUGGUUAGUGGAGUAGAGACACUGAGACAAGUGGAAGCCAAGUAUCCCGCUUUACUGUUUAAACAGCAACUUACGGCAUAUGUAGAGAAGAUAUAUGGAAUGAUCCGGGAUAAUUUGAAGAAAGAGAUCUCUCCUUUGCUCGGAUUGUGCAUUCAGGCCCCAAGAACAUCAAGAGCAAGCAUGAUGAAAGGAUCUUCUCGCUCAAACACAAAUACAGCUGCACAGCAAGCUUUGAUUGCUCACUGGCAAGGGAUUGUGAAAAGCCUCGGAAAUUUCUUGAACAUACUUAAAGUGAACAAUGUUCCUCCAUUCUUGGUGCGGAAAGUAUUCACUCAGAUAUUCUCCUUCAUCAAUGUACAGCUAUUUAACAGUCUUCUAUUAAGAAGGGAGUGCUGCUCAUUCAGUAACGGCGAGUACGUAAAAGCAGGAUUAGCUGAACUUGAGCAUUGGUGCUAUAGAGCUACUGACGAGUAUGCAGGUUCAGCCUGGGAUGAGCUUAAACAUAUUAGACAAGCUAUUGGUUUCCUGGUGAUUCAUCAAAAGCCAAAGAAAACGUUGGACGAAAUAAGUCAUGACCUCUGUCCAGUACUUAGUAUACAACAGCUAUACAGGAUCAGUACUAUGUACUGGGAUGACAAGUACGGAACACAUAGCGUGUCCCCAGAGGUCAUAUCAAACAUGAGAGUAUUGAUGACAGAAGACUCCAACAAUCCUGUAAGCAAUUCGUUUCUACUGGAUGAUGACUCAAGCAUACCGUUCUCCGUCGAUGACAUAUCCAAAUCAAUGCAGCAGAUUGACAUAUCUGACAUCGAACCGCCCCCACUCAUCCGGGAGAACUCGGGCUUUGUAUUCUUGUUGCCGCCCCCUGAAUAA